GUCGCCUAUGGCAGAAUAAAUAGUACCGUUUUCCCUAUACUCAAGAUAGCAAGGGAAAUCAAAAUUAAUCAGACUUCAGUCAUAUUAUACUAUUUUGAAGUACAUUUGAUUUUCAUCACAAAGAAUAGAAAUUUUUAACUGAGAACAGUACUGUAUUGAGAAAAGUGCUGAGUCAUCAUUAUAAGUCAAAUUGAUGGGUACUGAUAUAAAACUUUAUUCUAGGAUUUCAAUAUUGACUAUAUUGUAUAAACUGCACCAAACUAUUCUUCUUAUGUAUUUGUUUUCACCUUUCACAAUGAAACAUCCUGCGCAGCCGAGAAACAACAAAAUAAUUUAACAGAAGCUUUAUUAUAACUAUUGGCAUAAUCUCACCAAAUAUAAAGUUGUUUCUUGUGUGCGCACAUACUGUUUCAAUCUAACAUAUACUUAAAAUUUGAUGAAAAGCAAGGAAAAUCACGAGAUUUAACAAAAUAUGCAAAUUAAGUCAUGAUUUGUUGCCAUGGUAACGUGUUCGAUAUCAAAUUUGUUUUGUUUUUCUUAGUAUCUUAUACCUAAGUCAAGUUUUCAGUAAUUUAAGAAUAUGUAUGAUAACUUUUAAAUUUGCAGUAAUUUUUGGGCCAAAUAAGGCCUUAUUGCCCCUACUCUUUUAUUUUCUGCUGCCUUGGUAAUUAGAAAUUAAAAUUGAAAUAGAUAGAAAUGGGUGUUGGCCAUUGGUGUAGAAAUAGCGAAAAUUUAGAGAAAACUCUCUAAGACAAGCAACAUUUUCUGUGCCAAAUUAAGCAAGGGGUGUUCUUCAUUCAUACUAUUUCGAAAAUUCCGGAACCGUUGAGUACCCUUAAAAAUGCCAUUUUUCUAUCAAAAAAACUGCGGCACCAUAUGUGUUUGACCAUUGCAAUUACACCCAAAGGUGUUGAUAAUACAGAAUUCGAAUUUUUUUUCAAUGGAUCUUUGAUAGUGAAAAGGCAGGACCAAAUAAGGCUACCAUUGUCGCCUAUGUAAAUAAUUACUUCCUUGUAACCUAAAGCGAAAUGACGAUUUCUGGCGCGUCACUGUAUUUUUCGAGAUAUUUUAGAAAUUGGAUCGGUAAAUUAAUAAGGUACUAAGUGAUAAACUAUAUCAGAAGAAAAUUGCUGAUCGCCAUGAAACUAUAGUCUAUAUCAAAUUUUUACUGUUCUUUUUGUUAUUCUGCCUCAGGGGUAGGGUUCAUAAAUCUACUGUAAAAACGAGAAUUCUCUCAAGGACUCUGUAUUUAAUCAUUUCUCCUCAUCCUCGAUAACACUGAAUGUAUUCAUGCAUAUCUGAAAAAAAGGGGGGCUAAUUUUUGCUCAUAUUAGCGAAAUUUUUGUAUUCUUAAUGGCCAAAAUGUGCCAAAAUGACCCUGAAAU
RNAcentral lists this long non-coding RNA (1385 nucleotides) under Mytilus galloprovincialis (Mediterranean mussel). The record is from RNAcentral. Lineage: Eukaryota; Metazoa; Mollusca; Bivalvia; Mytilida; Mytilidae.